This 216-nucleotide ribosomal RNA is filed under the name Glomeromycotina sp. RNAcentral's name for it is "partial small subunit ribosomal RNA". The stretch from base 40 to 216 matches the Rfam family "Eukaryotic small subunit ribosomal RNA", at positions 686 to 864 of the family's 1831-position model. The record is from RNAcentral. Lineage: Eukaryota; Fungi; Glomeromycota.
GGGUCAGUAGGUUGGUCGUGCCACCGGUACGUACUGGUCUCACUGAUUCCUCCUUCCUGAAGAACCGUAAUGACAUUAAUUUGGUGUUGCGGGGAAACAGGACUGUUACUUUGAAAAAAUUAGUGUGUUUAAAGCAAGCUAACGCUUGAAUACAUUAGCAUGGAAUAAUGAAAUAGGACGAUCGAUCCUAUUUUGUUGGCUUCUAGGAUUGACGUA